GGGGUAUUAAUUUAAACGGUAAAAUUUGGGUAAAUUAAUCUAUAAUUAUUCAAAUGUGAGUUCGAGUCUCAUAUGCCCCC
Molecule: non-coding RNA, 80 nt
Organism: Anthostomella pinea
Lineage: Eukaryota; Fungi; Ascomycota; Sordariomycetes; Xylariales; Xylariaceae
Source: the annotation of a GenBank genome assembly